Molecule: ribosomal RNA, 479 nt
Filed under: uncultured bacterium
Lineage: Bacteria
Description: partial 16S ribosomal RNA
Rfam family: Bacterial small subunit ribosomal RNA
Source: RNAcentral
GAUGAACGCUAGCGGGAGGCCUAACACAUGCAAGCCGAGCGGUAUUGUUUCUUCGGAAAUGAGAGAGCGGCGUACGGGUGCGUAACACGUGUGCAACCUGCCUUUAUCUGGGGGAUAGCCUUUCGAAAGGAAGAUUAAUACUCCAUAAUAUAUUGAACGGCAUCGUUUAAUAUUGAAAGCUCCGGCGGAUAGAGAUGGGCACGCGCAAGAUUAGCUAGUUGGUGAGGUAACGGCUCACCAAGGCGAUGAUCUUUAGGGGGCCUGAGAGGGUGAUCCCCCACACUGAUACUGAGACACGGACCAGACUCCUACGGGAGGCAGCAGUGAGGAAUAUUGGUCAAUGGGUGCAAGCCUGAACCAGCCAUCCCGCGUGAAGGACGACUGCCCUAUGGGUUGUAAACUUCUUUUGUAUAGGGAUAAACCUACCCUCGAGAGGGUAGCUGAAGGUACUAUACGAAUAAGCACCGGCUAACUCCGUG